GCCAGACUCCUACGGGAGGCAGCAGUGGGGAAUAUUGCACAAUGGGGGAAACCCUGAUGCAGCGACGCCGCGUGAGUGAAGAAGUAUUUCGGUAUGUAAAGCUCUAUCAGCAGGGAAGAAAAUGACGGUACCUGAUUAAGAAGCCCCGGCUAACUACGUGCCAGCAGCCGCGGUAAUACGUAGGGGGCAAGCGUUAUCCGGAUUUACUGGGUGUAAAGGGAGCGUAGACGGUGAUGCAAGUCAGAAGUGAAAGCCCGGGGCUCAACUCCGGGACUGCUUUUGAAACUGUGUGACUGGAGUGCAGGAGAGGUAAGCGGAAUUCCUGGUGUAGCGGUGAAAUGCGUAGAUAUCAGGAGGAACACCAGUGGCGAAGGCGGCUUACUGGACUGUAACUGACGUUGAGGCUCGAAAGCGUGGGGAGCAAACAGGAUUAGAUACCCUCGUAGCU
RNAcentral lists this ribosomal RNA (448 nucleotides) under uncultured bacterium. Its description in RNAcentral is "bacterial SSU rRNA". It matches the Rfam family "Bacterial small subunit ribosomal RNA", at positions 330 to 795 of the family's 1533-position model. The record is from RNAcentral.